RNAcentral lists this ribosomal RNA (1251 nucleotides) under metagenome. RNAcentral describes it as "bacterial LSU rRNA". It matches the Rfam family "Bacterial large subunit ribosomal RNA", at positions 1635 to 2878 of the family's 2925-position model. The record is from RNAcentral.
UAUACGACCGUACCGCAAACCGACACUGGUGCGCGAGAUGAGUAUUCUAAGGCGCUUGAGAGAACUCAGGAGAAGGAACUCGGCAAAUUGACACCGUAACUUCGGAAGAAGGUGUGCCCUAUUAGUGUGUAGUGAACAACGAAGCAUGAAUGGGUUGCAAAAAAUCGGUGGCUGCGACUGUUUAUUAAAAACACAGCACUCUGCAAACACGAAAGUGGACGUAUAGGGUGUGACGCCUGCCCGGUGCUGGAAGAUUAAAUGAUGGGGUGCAAGCUCUUGAUUGAAGUCCCAGUAAACGGCGGCCGUAACUAUAACGGUCCUAAGGUAGCGAAAUUCCUUGUCGGGUAGGUUCCGACCUGCACGAAUGGCGUAACGAUGGCCACACUGUCUCCUCCUGAGACUCAGCGAAGUUGAAAUGUUUGUGAUGAUGCAAUCUCCCCGCGGAAAGACGGAAAGACCCCAUGAACCUUUACUGUAGCUUUGUAUUGGACUUUGAACAGAUCUGUGUAGGAUAGGUGGGAGGCUUUGAAGCAGGGUCGCUAGAUCUUGUGGAGCCAACGUUGAAAUACCACCCUGGUGUGUUUGAGGUUCUAACCUAGGUCCAUUAUCUGGAUCGGGGACAGUGCAUGGUAGGCAGUUUGACUGGGGCGGUCUCCUCCCAAAGCGUAACGGAGGAGUUCGAAGGUACGCUAGUUACGGUCGGACAUCGUGACGAUAGUGCAAUGGCAUAAGCGUGCUUAACUGCGAGACUGACAAGUCGAGCAGAUGCGAAAGCAGGACAUAGUGAUCCGGUGGUUCUGUAUGGAAGGGCCAUCGCUCAACGGAUAAAAGGUACUCUGGGGAUAACAGGCUGAUACCGCCCAAGAGUUCAUAUCGACGGCGGUGUUUGGCACCUCGAUGUCGGCUCAUCUCAUCCUGGGGCUGUAGCCGGUCCCAAGGGUAUGGCUGUUCGCCAUUUAAAGAGGUACGUGAGCUGGGUUUAAAACGUCGUGAGACAGUUUGGUCCCUAUCUUCCGUGGGCGCUGCAGAUUUGAGGAAGCCUGCUCCUAGUACGAGAGGACCGGAGUGGACACACCUCUGGUGUAUCGGUUGUCACGCCAGUGGCAUUGCCGAGUAGCUAAGUGUGGAAGAGAUAACCGCUGAAAGCAUCUAAGCGGGAAACUCGUUUCAAGAUGAGAUCUGCCGGGGCCUUGAGCCCCCUAAAGAGUCGUUCAAGACCAGGACGUUGAUAGGUCAGGUGUGGAAGCUAAU